This 87-nucleotide transfer RNA is filed under the name Clostridiaceae bacterium. RNAcentral's name for it is "tRNA-Leu". It matches the Rfam family "tRNA". From Rfam's summary of the family: Transfer RNA (tRNA) molecules are approximately 80 nucleotides in length. Their secondary structure includes four short double-helical elements and three loops (D, anti-codon, and T loops). The record is from RNAcentral. Lineage: Bacteria; Bacillati; Bacillota; Clostridia; Eubacteriales; Clostridiaceae. RNAcentral also lists the same sequence under 6 other names.
GCCGCCAUGACGGAAUUGGUAGACGUAUCAGACUUAAAAUCUGAGGCUGGUUUCAGCGUGCGGGUUCGAUUCCCGCUGGCGGCACCA